This 260-nucleotide long non-coding RNA is filed under the name Helianthus annuus (common sunflower). Its description in RNAcentral is "hypothetical non coding rna". The record is from RNAcentral. Lineage: Eukaryota; Viridiplantae; Streptophyta; Magnoliopsida; Asterales; Asteraceae.
UUAGUGGCGUUCGCAUUCUAAAAGUCUUAGCUUAUUUGCUUCCGCUGUGCAAUGAAGAUACCAGUCCAGUCACGCCAAUGCUCUGAUAUUUCAGGGUGUGACAACUACCAUAGCUGAUGAUAUUUGAUGAUAUUGAUGCAUGCUCACAUAGGAACGGACGAGGCCUUAGUGACUUAAUAACAAUGAAAGUCUAUUUGUUCAUGUUUUGUUUCUGAUUUUUCAAUGUAAUGUAAUACAUUUAAUUUAAUAAAACAGAACUU